Molecule: ribosomal RNA, 1597 nt
Filed under: Hafnia paralvei
Lineage: Bacteria; Pseudomonadati; Pseudomonadota; Gammaproteobacteria; Enterobacterales; Hafniaceae
Description: bacterial LSU rRNA
Rfam family: Bacterial large subunit ribosomal RNA
Source: RNAcentral
UUUAUGGGGUGACUGCGUACCUUUUGUAUAAUGGGUCAGCGACUUAUAUUUUGUAGCAAGGUUAACCGAAUAGGGGAGCCGUAGGGAAACCGAGUCUUAACUGGGCGUCAAGUUGCAAGGUAUAGACCCGAAACCCGGUGAUCUAGCCAUGGGCAGGUUGAAGGUUGGGUAACACUAACUGGAGGACCGAACCGACUAAUGUUGAAAAAUUAGCGGAUGACUUGUGGCUGGGGGUGAAAGGCCAAUCAAACCGGGAGAUAGCUGGUUCUCCCCGAAAGCUAUUUAGGUAGCGCCUCGUGAACUCAUCUUCGGGGGUAGAGCACUGUUUCGACUAGGGGGUCAUCCCGACUUACCAACUCGAUGCAAACUACGAAUACCGAAGAAUGUUAUCACGGGAGACACACGGCGGGUGCUAACGUCCGUCGUGAAGAGGGAAACAACCCAGACCGCCAGCUAAGGUCCCAAAGUCAUAGUUAAGUGGGAAACGAUGUGGGAAGGCAUAGACAGCCAGGAUGUUGGCUUAGAAGCAGCCAUCAUUUAAAGAAAGCGUAAUAGCUCACUGGUCGAGUCGGCCUGCGCGGAAGAUGUAACGGGGCUAAACUAUGCACCGAAGCUGCGGCAGCGACACUUAGGUGUUGUUGGGUAGGGGAGCGUUCUGUAAGCCUGUGAAGGUGACCUGUGAGGGUUGCUGGAGGUAUCAGAAGUGCGAAUGCUGACAUAAGUAACGAUAAAGCGGGUGAAAAACCCGCUCGCCGGAAGACCAAGGGUUCCUGUCCAACGUUAAUCGGGGCAGGGUGAGUCGACCCCUAAGGCGAGGCCGAAAGGCGUAGUCGAUGGGAAACAGGUUAAUAUUCCUGUACUCGGUGUUACUGCGAAGGGGGGACGGAGAAGGCUAGGCUAUCCGGGCGACGGUUGUCCCGGUUUAAGCGUGUAGGGGGUGUGACUUGGUAAAUCCGGUCGCAUACCAACCCUGAGGCGUGAUGACGAGUCACUACGGUGAUGAAGUAGUUGAUGCCAAGCUUCCAGGAAAAGCCUCUAAGCUCUAGGUAACAUUGAAUCGUACCCCAAACCGACACAGGUGGUCAGGUAGAGAAUACCAAGGCGCUUGAGAGAACUCGGGUGAAGGAACUAGGCAAAAUGGUGCCGUAACUUCGGGAGAAGGCACGCUGGCGCGUAGGUGAAGUCCCUUGCGGAUGGAGCUGAAGCCAGUCGAAGAUACCAGCUGGCUGCAACUGUUUAAUAAAAACACAGCACUGUGCAAACACGAAAGUGGACGUAUACGGUGUGACGCCUGCCCGGUGCUGGAAGGUUAAUUGAUGGGGUCAGCCGCAAGGCGAAGCUCUUGAUCGAAGCCCCAGUAAACGGCGGCCGUAACUAUAACGGUCCUAAGGUAGCGAAAUUCCUUGUCGGGUAAGUUCCGACCUGCACGAAUGGCGUAAUGAUGGCCAGGCUGUCUCCACCCGAGACUCAGUGAAAUUGAACUCGCUGUGAAGAUGCAGUGUACCCGCGGCAAGACGGAAAGACCCCGUGAACCUUUACUAUAGCUUGACACUGAACAUUGAGCCUUGAUGUGUAGGAUAGGUGGGAGGCUUUGAAG